Long non-coding RNA from Teleopsis dalmanni, 498 nucleotides. RefSeq lists it as uncharacterized. NCBI's taxonomy places the organism in Eukaryota, Metazoa, Arthropoda, Insecta, Diptera, Diopsidae. The record is from RefSeq and is a predicted model, not a curated record. The transcript is spliced from 3 exons.
UAGUCAUUUGAACCGGCGCAAACAGCUGUAAACGUUGCUAUGCAACAUUGUACACAACAAAACAAAAUAGUUUAAUAAGUGUUGCUAUUACGUUGAAAUUUCUAGCAACAUCUUGUAAUGUAAAUGUUGCUAGAACAUAUUUGAAAUGAAGCAACAUGUUUCUGAAUGGCUUGAAAAUCUUUGACAUCCACGAGCUGGCAUCUGCUGCAUCUGAAUGAACUAUAUAUUACACAAGCUUUAUCAUGAUAACCUACAGCAAAUAAAUAGUGUUUGAAGCGACAGUCGGAGAAAGCAGACGUAAGGUGGUAUUCCCUAUCUGUCGUGAACCGAUAAAGUUUAGGGAAUACUAACCACAGCUAACUAACGUGACUGGAGAAGUAGCGCUCAUAGAAUGCUGUGUCAGUCCAAUAACGUGUUGUUAUGGUUAAAAAAUCCUUGGGAUUGUGUGCAUUUGUUCCACAAACAUAUAAACGUGCUCCAGAGUCCAUCGGUUGAAUU